This is a non-coding RNA of Taeniopygia guttata (zebra finch), 616 nucleotides long. The record is from RefSeq and is a predicted model, not a curated record. Lineage: Eukaryota; Metazoa; Chordata; Aves; Passeriformes; Estrildidae.
UCCUUGUCCGAAUAAAAACAAGAGGCUCCGUACUCAUAGGAAGCCCGACUGCAAGCAAUGACGGUGUUGGACUGUUGGUAGAAACAAGCCGAAAAUUGCCCUUCCUCUAAGGCUUCCCUUCGGAGCUCAGGGAGUCCGCCCCAGCGCCGAAUCCAGCUUUUGUGGGAGAGCCUAACGCGUUCUGCAAUGGAAGAGGUUUCCCCAGCUAAUCAACAAACACACCUGGCAGAAUUACAGCUCACUAACUGCGUGCUUUGAGAGGUCAUUUCAGAAACAUGUAUUUCCUGAAAAGCAGAUUUCUCCGGGAAAAUAAGGGGUUUUCUACUCAGUGAGAACAGAGUUUUAAAAGGAGGAAAUACCAGCAAGCAAGCACUCAUACACAGCAUGCUAAAUGCGAAAAGGCUUUUAAAAGAGCAUAUUUUCGCCAGUUUAAGUCAGAACGAAAACGCACCAUGAAAAAAAGGGUACUCGGGACAAACCAACCCCACCGGCCUUACUUCCAAAAAGUUGUGGGCAGACGAUCUUUUGUUUGAAUCCAUCACACAAAAACCAAAAUAAAAUUAAAAAUAAAAAUUGCUCCAGGCUUAGUUAUAUUUACAUUUUGUAGCAUGGGUUA